CGGGGCGUAGCUCAGGUUGGUUAGAGCGCGCGGUUUGGGACCGCGAGGUCGGCGGUUCGAGUCCGCCCGCCCCGA
This 75-nucleotide transfer RNA is filed under the name Anaerolineae bacterium. RNAcentral's name for it is "tRNA-Pro". It matches the Rfam family "tRNA". From Rfam's summary of the family: Transfer RNA (tRNA) molecules are approximately 80 nucleotides in length. Their secondary structure includes four short double-helical elements and three loops (D, anti-codon, and T loops). Further hydrogen bonds mediate the characteristic L-shaped molecular structure. tRNAs have two regions of fundamental functional importance: the anti-codon, which is responsible for specific mRNA codon recognition, and the 3' end, to which the tRNAs corresponding amino acid is attached (by aminoacyl-tRNA synthetases). tRNAs cope with the degeneracy of the genetic code in two manners: having more than one tRNA (with a specific anti-codon) for a particular amino acid; and 'wobble' base-pairing, i.e. permitting non-standard base-pairing at the 3rd anti-codon position. Lineage: Bacteria; Bacillati; Chloroflexota; Anaerolineae. The record is from RNAcentral.